Molecule: ribosomal RNA, 459 nt
Filed under: uncultured bacterium
Lineage: Bacteria
Description: partial 16S ribosomal RNA
Rfam family: Bacterial small subunit ribosomal RNA
Source: RNAcentral
CCUACGGGAGGCAGCAGUGAGGAAUAUUGGUCAAUGGGCGCGAGCCUGAACCAGCCAAGUCGCGUGAGGGAAGAAGGUCCUAUGGAUUGUAAACUUCUUUUGUCGGGGAGCAAAAGUCGCCACGCGUGGCUUUCCGAGAGUACCCGAAGAAAAAGCAUCGGCUAACUCCGUGCCAGCAGCCGCGGUAAUACGGGGGAUGCGAGCGUUAUCCGGAUUUAUUGGGUUUAAAGGGUGCGCAGGCGGAAGAUCAAGUCAGCGGUAAAAUUGAGAGGCUCAACCUCUUCGAGCCGUUGAAACUGGUUGUCUUGAGUGAGCGAGAGGUAUGAGGAAUGCGUGGUGUAGCGGUGAAAUGCGUAGAUAUCACGCAGAACUCCGAUUGCGAAGGCAGCAUACCGGCGCUCAACUGACGCUCAUGCACGAAAGUGUGGGUAUCGAACAGGAUUAGAUACCCCUGUAGUC